AGCAGCCGCGGUAAUACGGAGGGUGCGAGCGUUAAUCGGAAUUACUGGGCGUAAAGCGCAUGCAGGCGGCCUGUUAAGUCAGAUGUGAAAGCCCGGGGCUUAACCUCGGAAUUGCAUUUGAAACUGGCAGGCUAGAGUCUUGUAGAGGGGGGUAGGAAUUUCUAGGUGUAGCGGUGAAAUAGCGUAGAGAUCUGAAAGGAAUACCAGUGGCGAAGGCGGCCCCCUGGACAAAGACUGACGCUCAGAUGCGAAAGCGUGGGGAGCAAACAGGAUUAGAUACCCCUGGUAG
RNAcentral lists this ribosomal RNA (289 nucleotides) under uncultured bacterium. RNAcentral describes it as "partial 16S ribosomal RNA". It matches the Rfam family "Bacterial small subunit ribosomal RNA", at positions 510 to 793 of the family's 1533-position model. The record is from RNAcentral.